UGUGCGAUAGUUGAUGCACAGUCUGGCCUGCCCACUGAAAAGUUUGAAGGGCCGCGGUAUUUGGACCGUGCUAAGGUAGCAUAAUAAAUAGUCUCUUAAUUGGGGUCUAGUAUGAAUGGUCGGACAUGAAGUAAUCUGUUUUAAUUAUAAAAUUUGAAUUUUACUUUUAAGUGAAAAGGCUUAAAUUACAUGGUGGGACGAUAAGACCCUAUAAAGCUUUACAUUUUACUUGUUGGUUGGAGAGUUUAUGGUUUUCUAUUCCUAUCAAGUGAAAUUGUUUCAUUGGGGCGAUGGGAAUAUAAAUUAGUAACUGUUUUAUUUGGAAAAUAGAUCUUUUUAGUAGAAUUGAUCCUUUGUAAAGAUUAUAAGAACAAAGUUACUUUAGGGAUAACAGCGUAAUUUUUCUUGAGAGUUCAUAUCGACAGAAAUAGUUGCGACCUCGAUGUUGAAUUAAGAUGCCCCCAAGGAGUAGCAGUUUUGGUUGGUAGGUCUGUUCGACCUUUAAAAUCUU
This 511-nucleotide ribosomal RNA is filed under the name Caridina sumatrensis. RNAcentral describes it as "partial 16S ribosomal RNA". It matches the Rfam family "Bacterial large subunit ribosomal RNA", at positions 1822 to 2597 of the family's 2925-position model. The record is from RNAcentral. Lineage: Eukaryota; Metazoa; Arthropoda; Malacostraca; Decapoda; Atyidae.